GAGUUGUAAGCCGAGGACCAGACUGUGAUAGUCAUGAGCCGAGGGCCAUCGCUGUGAUAGUGUGAGCCGAGGUAAGCUUGGUGCUACCUCUUUUCUUUUGUUUGUUAUUUUCUUUGAAUAAGAGGAUUGAGAGUUUCUGAAUAUUGUGAAGUGAAUUAUGGAAUGGAAAUGUGAUUGGUAUUAUUUGAGAAGAAGAAAGAUUGAAUGUUGAAAUCUGAUUGUAAUUCAGCAGAGAGAAUGAGUUUGUGUUUGUUUGAAAUACUGUAAUGUGAAUGGCAAUUUUGUGUGAAGAAUUCCAGUGAUUGGAACGAGGGUAAUUGUGUGCUGAAAGUUGUGAGGGCGUAGUAUUACAGUUGGAGAUUAUGAGGGUGAAU
This 374-nucleotide long non-coding RNA is filed under the name Physcomitrium patens. Its description in RNAcentral is "long non-coding RNA (PPAT_LNC009462)". Lineage: Eukaryota; Viridiplantae; Streptophyta; Bryopsida; Funariales; Funariaceae. The record is from RNAcentral.